GUGGGGAAUCUUCCGCAAUGGACGAAAGUCUGACGGAGCGACGCCGCGUGAGUGAAGAAGGCCUUCGGGUCGUAAAGCUCUGUCAUCAGGGACGAACGGCCGGUGGAGUGGAAAGCCACCGGAUUGACGGUACCUGAGAAGGAAGCCACGGCUAACUACGUGCCAGCAGCCGCGGUAAUACGUAGGUGGCAAGCGUUGUCCGGAAUUAUUGGGCGUAAAGCGCGGGCAGGUGGGAUCUUAAGUCCAUUUUUAAAGUUCGGAGCUCAACUCCGUGAUGGGAUGGAAACUGGGAUUCUUGAGUACCGGAGAGGAAAGCGGAAUUCCCCGUGUAGCGGUGAAAUGCGUAGAUAUGGGGAGGAACACCAGUGGCGAAGGCGGCUUUCUGGACGGUGUCUGACACUGAGGCGCGAAAGCCAGGGGAGCGAACGGGAUUAGAUACCCUGGUAGUCC
RNAcentral lists this ribosomal RNA (450 nucleotides) under uncultured bacterium. Its description in RNAcentral is "partial 16S ribosomal RNA". It matches the Rfam family "Bacterial small subunit ribosomal RNA", at positions 354 to 796 of the family's 1533-position model. The record is from RNAcentral.